CCUACGGGAGGCAGCAGUGGGGAAUUUUGGACAAUGGGCGCAAGCCUGAUCCAGCAAUGCCGCGUGAGUGAAGAAGGCCUUCGGGUUGUAAAGCUCUUUUGUCAGGGAAGAAACGGUGAGCUCUAAUACAGUUUGCUAAUGACGGUACCUGAAGAAUAAGCACCGGCUAACUACGUGCCAGCAGCCGCGGUAAUACGUAGGGUGCAAGCGUUAAUCGGAAUUACUGGGCGUAAAGCGUGCGCAGGCGGUUUUGUAAGUCUGUCGUGAAAUCCCCGGGCUCAACCUGGGAAUGGCGAUGGAGACUGCAAGGCUAGAGUUUGGCAGAGGGGGGUAGAAUUCCACGUGUAGCAGUGAAAUGCGUAGAUAUGUGGAGGAACACCGAUGGCGAAGGCAGCCCCCUGGGUCAAAACUGACGCUCAUGCACGAAAGCGUGGGGAGCAAACAGGAUUAGAUACCCUGGUAGUCCACGCCCUAAACGAUGUCUACUAGUUGUCGGGUCUUAAUUGACUUGGUAACGCAGCUAACGCGUGAAGUAGACCGCCUGGGGAGUACGGUCGCAAGAUUAAAAACUCAAAAGGAAUUGACGG
Molecule: ribosomal RNA, 587 nt
Filed under: uncultured bacterium
Lineage: Bacteria
Description: bacterial SSU rRNA
Rfam family: Bacterial small subunit ribosomal RNA
Source: RNAcentral